Long non-coding RNA from Manis pentadactyla (Chinese pangolin), 499 nucleotides. RefSeq lists it as uncharacterized. The transcript has 2 exons. Lineage: Eukaryota; Metazoa; Chordata; Mammalia; Pholidota; Manidae. The record is from RefSeq and is a predicted model, not a curated record.
GGAGCAUGACGUACAUAACUGUCUACAAAAUAUUUCACCUUCAAGUAGUAGAUAAGGGCCAUAAGGGAAAUCAGGAAAGAGAAAGAUACACCAUCUUCAGCACAAAGACAGAGGCAGCGGCUGCCAGUCUCCCCAGGAUGCCUGCAAACCCAUCAGCAGCUGUGGGGGCUGUGAAGACAAACCCAGAUCAAGAGCACAGGCUUUUAAAACGCCUGAAAUCACUAGUUCUGGCAAGAAAUCUCUGCUGAAUCGGUCAAUGCUGACAUCAAAAGGUUCACAGAAGUUCUCUGACUAUAAAAUUCCAUCUCGAAGCACCUUUCCUAAAGACUUAAGAAGUAUCUUUUUUGUCUUUAUUCUGGUCUUGAGACAUUUCUUGUUUUUUAGUCCAAAUUACUUUAAACCCUUUUGCUAUUUAUAUGUGCUUUGCUUUGAAGAAUUCCUUCUCUUGGCAGAAGAAGUGCAAUGAGGGAGCAUUUAUUAAAGGUAUGGACCAAUGAGA